Molecule: ribosomal RNA, 253 nt
Filed under: uncultured bacterium
Lineage: Bacteria
Description: partial 16S ribosomal RNA
Rfam family: Bacterial small subunit ribosomal RNA
Source: RNAcentral
UACGUAGGGACCAAGCGUUGUUCGGAUUUACUGGGCGUAAAGGGCGCGUAGGCGGCGUGACAAGUCACUUGUGAAAUCUCCGGGCUUAACUCGGAACGGCCAAGUGAAACUGUCAUGCUAGAGUGCAGAAGGGGCAAUCGGAAUUCUUGGUGUAGCGGUGAAAUGCGUAGAUAUCAAGAGGAACACCUGAGGUGAAGACGGGUUGCUGGGCUGACACUGACGCUGAGGUGCGAAAGCGUGGGGAGCAAACAGG